RNAcentral lists this long non-coding RNA (2380 nucleotides) under Marmota monax (woodchuck). The record is from RNAcentral. Lineage: Eukaryota; Metazoa; Chordata; Mammalia; Rodentia; Sciuridae.
GGCCUUAUAGCGCUCAACCACAUCAUCUCAUUGUUGCCCCUACACAGAGAAUAACAAAAAGUUCCUGCAACCAGAUUCUACGUUAUGGGGCAUGAGGUCCAGGGUAUCGCAGCUCUAGUUAGCUGCCAUCUGUUGGUCUAGUCAGUGUGCCAGAGGCUCCCAGGGAAUAAAUGGAGAGUUCAGAAGGUGGGGUGGAGAACCAAAGCUAAUUAUGGAUUGUGUGAAUACAGGGUCUCAGAUACAGAGGCAACCAUUUUUCAGAUGUCUUGGAGAUGGUGCUGCAAGUGAUAAGACAAGAUUUUUAUUAGGAUAAGUGUACAUAACAUAAAAUUGACCAUUUUAGCCAUUUUUAAGUGGCUUUAAGUACAUUCACAGUAUUGUGCAAGCAUCCAGAACUUUUUGUUUUGUUUCCCAAACUGAAACUCUGUACCCAUUAAAUAGUAACUUUAGUCAGGUGCUGUGGUGUGUGGCUGUUGUCCAAGGCAGAGCCAGGAGGAUCACUUGAGUCCUGGGGUCUGAGAUCAGCUGGGCAAAAUAACAAGACAGGUUUCAAAAACAUAAACAAACAAAACACUCCCUUCCCCGCCCCUCAGACAAUGGCAACCACCCUGUACCUUCUGUACCAUGUGUCAGAAUUUCCUUCCUUCCUUUCUUCUUUUUUUUUUCUUUUCAUGGUGCUGGAGGUCAAACCCAGAGCAUCUACAGGCUGGGCAAGUGCUCUACCUUCUUUCUUUUUAGUCUGUUUUUGUUUCUUUUCUGCCCCUCCCCCUUCCUUCUUAAGGCUGAAUAAGGUUCCAUAUUUUGUCUAUACACAGUGUGUUUACCCAUUCAUCUCCCAUUGGGCACUUGAGUUGUCUCUAGCUUUUGGCUGUUAUGAAUUAUGUCCAUUGUCGUUGCAUUCUCCAACGUAUGACAACUUUGUCUUUAUGCAGACUCUCAGAUCCUAAAAGGACACUGUCAGGUCAGUGGGGUGGCGGUGACUUAGGACAAAGCAACCCUCAACGGGAAAGAAACAUCAAUCAGGCACCAACAGAAACGCCUGUCAAUCAGCAGGACCCCCGGCCAAUCCUGGAGUUCAGCCAGCUCCCCCAACCAACUCCAAUGGGACAAAAGACUCUAAAAACACCUUUUCCUGUCCCAAGCCCUUCCCUAAAAACACCUUUUCCUGUAAGCCCCAUAAAAGUUCAGUCCGGUCAAACUUCCACGCGGUUUCUCCUCAGACCCUUCUCCUGUCCACUCUGUGGGUCUGAUUGAGUUCUGCCUGGGAGUGAGUCUCAAUAAAGCCUCCUUUGGCGGCCUUUUUAAAUCUGCCUCCCUUGGUCACUGCCCACCUUUGCCUGAUCUUACAGACACUUAGUAUCCUGUGGGGAUUAGCAGAAAGAAUGGCAUGAUGGAGGUCCUCAGGCUUGACAUCUCUUUGAAUCUUAAAAAAGGAGUGUGUUCGGAGAAUCAUGCUGUGGUGCCCUUGAAGACCAAUUCCUGGGAAAAAAGAAUGAUGCGAAUUAAAACCAUCUUCCUAGAGAAGAGCACAGUCAAGAAAGCUAUGGGAACUGUUCCCAAGGAACAAAGACUUUUCCUUGUCACUCCCUAAGGCAGGCGAGAAAGCUUUGGAUAGAGGCACAGAGUCACUGAGACCUGAUUUCAACUCAGUGUAUUGAAGAAUUUGUUAACCUCUGAAAGUGUUUAACACACGAACAGUCAACCUGGGUGAAAUGGGUGUCCUCUGUGAGAACUCACACACGGAAGCUGAUUCCAGAACUGAAGGAGCGCAGAGGAUCUGUGACUUCUGUUACUCCAGCAUCUCUGUCUUUCUCAUGCCUGAAACAUCAGGAGAAAACAGAAAUGACCAAAGAAUUUCCAAAGCCAGUAACUAUUCAGUGUAAAUUUCGUUUAAAUAUCUCCCAGUGUCUCGUUCCCCAGGUGAUGUUGGAAUCUGACUAGCUAAUCCUUAAAAAGAAAGAGAGGGAAACAUUAUCCAAUACAGUGACCUGAGCCAGGACAGAUCACCAGGUACACUGGGGUACCAACUCAGAGGUCCCAGCUCUCACUUGUGUAUUAGACUAGGAAAAUAAAUCCAGAUCAAAUUAAACAGAACCUUGUUAUGUUGCUAAUUAAUGAAAAUUAAUGACUCCAGUUUGUCUAGUUUAGUAGACUUUGAUAGUAAUUUCUCUCCAUUGAGUUUUUCUCUUUUCCUUUUUCACUAAAAUUUGUGGGGGGGAAGAAAUGCCUGAAGAAGCCCAGUAGACCAUUCUGAGACUCUGAGGUUGGAAAAUAAAUUGGAAUGACCUCCUUUGGAUGGCAUUUUGGCCACAGCCAUCAAAAUGUGAAGUGCACAUACCCUUUGACCCAGCAAUCCCACUUGUAGGAAUUUACCAGCCAG